UUAAAAGAUAAUCAUAAAUUUAUACAAGCCGUUCCACCUAACUCUGCCACCCUUGAUUACUCUCUUAUUUGUAACGGUACAAAAAAGAUGUUUGGGCAGGAAGUUAUUGUAUUUCAGGGGCGAAAUUAGGCUAUGAGAAUUAAAAAUAAUUUAUUUUUUGAAAUUUUUUUAUUAAAUAACAUUACGUUUGGCUACUAAUAAUUCAAUAUUAAGAUAUAUUAACAACGUGCUGCAAUCACACGAGCACGACGCUGAUCUACGCAAUUAGAAAACUCUUCGACUAAGGUAGAACACUUCAGAAUUU
This is a long non-coding RNA of Bombus huntii, 304 nucleotides long. RefSeq lists it as uncharacterized. NCBI's taxonomy places the organism in Eukaryota, Metazoa, Arthropoda, Insecta, Hymenoptera, Apidae. The record is from RefSeq and is a predicted model, not a curated record. The transcript is spliced from 2 exons.